RNAcentral lists this ribosomal RNA (576 nucleotides) under uncultured euryarchaeote. RNAcentral's name for it is "bacterial SSU rRNA". It matches the Rfam family "Archaeal small subunit ribosomal RNA", at positions 80 to 658 of the family's 1478-position model. Lineage: Archaea; Methanobacteriati; Methanobacteriota. The record is from RNAcentral.
CGAUUACGGCUCAGUAACACGUAGAUAAUCUACCCUUGAGUCAAGGAUAAGCACGGGAAACUGUGUCUAACACUUGAUAGGGGAUUUUUCCUGGAAAGGGAUAUCCCUGAAACUCGUGCUCAAGGAUGAGUCUGCGGCUGAUUAGCUUGUUGGUGGGGUAACUGCCUACCAAGGCGAUGAUCAGUACGGGCUCAUAGCGGAGUUGCCCGGAGAAGGAAUCUGAGACACUAUUCCUAGCUCUACGGAGUGCAGCAGUCGCGGAACUUUUACAAUGCACGCAAGUGUGAUAAAGCGAACCAAAGUGCUUUUCGUUUAGAAAAGCUUUUUCUCGAUGUAAAAAUUCGGGAGAAUAAGGACUGGGAAAGACUGGUGCCAGCCGCCGCGGUAAUACCAGCAAUUCAAGUUGCAUCCCUUUUUAUUGGGUCUAAAACAUCCGUAGCUUGCCGUUUAAGUCUCUUGUGAAAUCCCACGUCUCAAGCGUGGGGACGUGCAGGAGAUACUGAGCGGCUCGAGAUCGGUAGACGUAAGAAGUACGCCACGGGGUUCGGUCAAAAUGUGUUAAUCCGUGGGUGGACU